AUGCACUUGGGUAGAAGAACCAGCUGUGCAGUGUCAAGACCCUUCCCUCAGAGACCUUAUCAGUAAAAUGGCGGGUGGACUCGGGGAUGCCCGAAGACUUUUCCGGACCACGAUUUUCCGAUGCUGGACACAUAUUUAAACAUGAAGGAAUAGACUUGCGACUUUUAAGCGCAAACAAUGGGUGGAAAUGGACAGAAACUGCCUCCGUGCCCACUUGCAGCGGACUACGUAGCCCUGGCAGACAGGCAAUUGCUUCAAACAAGCGCCCUCCAAGGGCGUAAGCUAGAGGGGCCCGGGCGGGCGCUUUCCCGUGGACCCUCCCACCUCGCGGGUAGAGGAAGUCCUUCAGUUCAGGCACAACCCUGAGCGCCCCCCGCAGUCUCCAACUCCGGCGCCAGUCAGGUUGUGGGGUGGGGGCGGCGGAGAGCGCAGGCGCAGAGUCCGCGCCGGCGGCGCCCCUCUCCCUCCGCACUACUCCGGGCAGCGCCCGCCUCGAUUUUCCCAGGCGAGGGCACGCCCGCGUCAGUCGCCUCCGGGGCACCUUCCUCGCCACGACACGCAGGUAACCGGGCCCCGGGAGCCGGUCGGCGGCGGCGGACUGGGACCUUGAUCCUGCCUGCCCGGCCGCCUGACAGGGGAAUGAGAGCGGACCCCGAACUCCACACACCCGCGUUUAGCCGCCACACCUAAGGGGCAGAACAGUCUUUUUGGGUAAGGGCCGGGCUGGGGGCGACGCGCCCCGCCCGCUUUGCAGACUUCGGGGUGCUCUGCACGACGCCUGAAAGGCCGCGGGGCCCGCAUUUCUCUGUGCUGCCCUCCUGGAGAACCGGGACACGGGGACGGGAGGGCCAGCAUCGGCUACGGCCCGAUUUCCCGUUUCUUUCCGCUGUCGCGUGUCUGGGCCCUCCUGCAGCGUCCAUGAUGAAGGCCAGGGGCUGUUGCUUUCCUCUCGCCCAGUAGCCAACCCAAGCAAGCGGGUGAGUCACUGUGGCGUCAUAUGGGAUCAAUUUCAAAUACAAGUUUUAAAAAAGGCUGGAUGAUUUUAGAAAUAUGGCCAAGAAUUUGUAUUUUCCAUUACUCUCUUGUCUCAUGUCCAUGACUCUUGAACGCCAGUCUGUGGGCGCUGAGAUUUUCGUGGUACAUCGACGGUUUGUAGAAAUCUUUUCCCAAGGGAAGACGAGGGCAAGGGUUAGUGGAGGAAGGGCCUCGUCACGGCCGAGAGUGGCGGAGAAGGCUCAGGGCAAGUCCGCACAGCCUCCAGCAGCCACGGGGAGGAAAAGGCGAAUCUUUCCUCACAGUGCUCUGGGCGCUGUAGAAUUUCUACGCCACGUGCACCCUUUUGGCCUCAUUUGAGAGGAGGAGAGGGAAGAAGGGUCGCGCGGGCCGGUAGGAAAGAGAUUCGUGUUGCGGCGGAUGAAGGCUCAGCGCGGACCUGCCUCUCGGGCCAGGUUUUCACCCGGCUCCGCGAGGAGCGAGGCGGAAUGCUCGGGUCCGAGUGUUGAUCGAGGACCUGGAGAUAGUAACGCCCCGGGUCCAGAGUGCUGGGGGUGGGUCCAGAGGGCUGGGGGUAGGUCCAGAGGGCUGGGGGUAGCUCCGGAGGAGCGAUCUUCCUCCGCGGGAAAGGACUUGGAUCAGGCUUGCCUAUGUCCGUGGUGCUGAAAUGCCUCGCGCGCCCUCGUCGACUGACUUCCUGGGCCGCGGCCUGCGUUGCCCUUCUACUCUGCACCUUUGCCAAAAAUAGCCCAUCUCCAUGGCUGGUGGCCAGAGUAGAGCAGGCCCAACACUGAAACUCUUUUCAGACAAGUUGAGGCUGGUUUCCUGAACAUAACCCGAAAGCAAAUGUGGCUUGCCUUGGAG
This 1857-nucleotide small RNA is filed under the name Pan troglodytes (chimpanzee). RNAcentral describes it as "processed transcript". Lineage: Eukaryota; Metazoa; Chordata; Mammalia; Primates; Hominidae. The record is from RNAcentral.